GUGAGGAAUUUUCCGCAAUGGGCGAAAGCCUGACGGAGCAAUGCCGCGUGAAGGAUGAAGGCCUAUGGGUUGUAAACUUCUUUUCUCAGAAAAGAAUUAUGACGGUAUCUGAGGAAUAAGCAUCGGCUAACUCUGUGCCAGCAGCCGCGGUAAGACAGAGGAUGCAAGCGUUAUCCGGAAUGAUUGGGCGUAAAGCGUCUGUAGGUUGUUUAAAAAGUAUUCUGUCAAAGAUUAGGGCUUAACCCUAGAUAGGCAGAAUAAACUUUUAAGCUAGAGGUUGGUAGAGGCAGAGGGAAUUCCCGGUGGAGCGGUGAAAUGCGUAGAUAUCGGGAGGAACACCAAAGGCGAAGGCACUAUGCUGGGCCAAUACUAACACUGAGAGACGAAAGCGAGGGGAGCAAAUGGGAUUAGAAACCCGAGUAGUCC
Molecule: ribosomal RNA, 426 nt
Filed under: uncultured bacterium
Lineage: Bacteria
Description: partial 16S ribosomal RNA
Rfam family: Bacterial small subunit ribosomal RNA
Source: RNAcentral